GAGAACACUAAACCGGAAAGUAUGUGGUUCGAUCCGAUUGGUAGGAAGCUUUCAAAUACGUGAGAUCGAUGUCAGCCCCGGAAGUGAAAGUCAGUCGUUAUUGAAUUUUGUCGAGAUGCAGUGCAGUGUCCGUGAUUCAAUGUUAGUCUUGGAAUUUAGCUAAGCGUAAUUGAACUUCUCAAUUUCAAGCUUUUGUACGUCGCUACUCACACAAAUACUUUCAUCGGGAUAAUCAGCAUCAUUUAUUUCAUAAGAUACAUAUUAAACUACUGUGUGUUUCGUAGAGUGAAGACGAGAGAACUUUCUCCUUCCAGUGACGUAUGCAAGAUGGAGACAUGUAGAACAUUACACUUAGGAUCAAAUAUUCAUUUGCGUGUGACUUGAAGAGAUGUGGCAUUCAUCUCCGUGAAUUAACAUUCGACACUACACGCCUACACAAAAGAGGCGUGUGUUUCCUAUGGUGACAGCCAAAUAAGUUCCAGAUGUAGCUGAUUUACAGAGGUUGGACGUGUAUAAAUGUGGCGUUUAUGUGCAUAUGUAUACAUAUAUAUGUCUGACAAGCCUUAUCUUUGUAAUAUCUCGAUACAUUUCAAAAUAAAAUUUUGACAUGUUUACUAAUAAUUCUUAAGCGUAAGCAGACAUCAAAUGCAAUACAACAACCACAAUUGCGGGAACUAAUGCAUAAGUGACGUGAGCCAAGAUUAUUCGAGGUCAACAACAAGACAGGUGAAUCAAUAACCCCUCUACAUAGCGAUUGGCCGACAUCAGGGCAUACAACUUACGAACUCUAACGGAGAAAACACUAAACUGGAAAUUACGUGCUUCGAUUUGAUUGGAUGGACGUGUACAUCAGCUUUCAAAUACUUCAGAUCGGUUCCAGCCCCGGAAGUGAAAGUCAGUCGUUAUUGAAUUUUGUCGAGAUACAGUGCAGUGUCCGUGAUUCAAUGUUAGUCUUGGAAUUUAGCUAAGAGUAAUUGAACUUCUCAAUUUCAAGCUUUUGUACGUCGCUACUCACACAAAUACUUUCAUCGGGAUAAUCAGCAUCAUUUAUUUCAUAAGAUACAUAUUAAACUACUGUGUGUUUCGUAGAGUGAAGACGAGAGAACUUUCUCCUUCCAGUGACGUAUGCAAGAUGGAGACAUGUAGAACAUUACACUUAGGAUCAAAUAUUCAUUUGCGUGUGACUUGAAGAGAUGUGGCAUUCAUCUCCGUGAAUUAACAUUCGACACUACACGCCUACACAAAAGAGGCGUGUGUUUCCUAUGGUGACAGCCAAAUAAGUUCCAGAUGUAGCUGAUUUACAGAGGUUGGACGUGUAUAAAUGUGGCGUUUAUGUGCAUAUGUAUACAUAUAUAUGUCUGACAAGCCUUAUCUUUGUAAUAUCUCGAUACAUUUCAAAAUAAAAUUUUGACAUGUUUACUAA
Non-coding RNA from Zootermopsis nevadensis, 1423 nucleotides. Lineage: Eukaryota; Metazoa; Arthropoda; Insecta; Blattodea; Termopsidae. The record is from RefSeq and is a predicted model, not a curated record.